AUUGAACGCUGGCGGCAGGCCUAACACAUGCAAGUCGAGCGAGCGGCGGGCGAGUGAGUAAUGCCUGGGAAUUGCCCAGUAGAGGGGGAUAACAGUUGAAAACGAACGCUAAUAACGCAUACGAUUGGAUUGCCCAUGUGGGAUUAGCUAGUUGGUGGGGUAAUGGCUCACCAAGGCGACGAUCCCUAGCUGGUCUGAGAGGAUGACCAGCCACACUGGAACUGAGACACGGCCCGGACUCCUACGGGAGGCAGCAGUGGGGAAUAUUGGACAAUGGGGGAAACCCUGAUGCAGCCAUGCCGCGUGUGUGAAGAAGGCCUUCGGGUUGUAAAGCACUUUCAGCGAGGAGGCGUUACUCGCAGAAGAAGCACCGGCUAACUCCGUGCCAGCAGCCGCGGUAAUAC
This 404-nucleotide ribosomal RNA is filed under the name uncultured bacterium. RNAcentral's name for it is "partial 16S ribosomal RNA". It matches the Rfam family "Bacterial small subunit ribosomal RNA", at positions 30 to 526 of the family's 1533-position model. The record is from RNAcentral.